GACGAACGCUGGCGGCGUGCUUAACACAUGCAAGUCGAACGGAAAGGCCCUGCUUUUGUGGGGUGCUCGAGUGGCGAACGGGUGAGUAACACGUGAGUAACCUGCCCUUGACUUUGGGAUAACUUCAGGAAACUGGGGCUAAUACCGGAUAGGAGCUCCUGCUGCAUGGUGGGGGUUGGAAAGUUUCGGCGGUUGGGGAUGGACUCGCGGCUUAUCAGCUUGUUGGUGGGGUAGUGGCUUACCAAGGCUUUGACGGGUAGCCGGCCUGAGAGGGUGACCGGCCACAUUGGGACUGAGAUAAGGCCCAGACUCCUACGGGAGGCAGCAGUGGGGAAUAUUGCAAAAUGGGCGGAAGCCUGAUGCAGCAACGCCGCGUGCGGGAUGACGGCCUUCGGGUUGUAAACCGCUUUCGCCUGUGACGAAGCGUGAGUGACGGUAAUGGGUAAAGAAGCACCGGCUAACUACGUG
RNAcentral lists this ribosomal RNA (468 nucleotides) under uncultured bacterium. RNAcentral describes it as "partial 16S ribosomal RNA". It matches the Rfam family "Bacterial small subunit ribosomal RNA", at positions 28 to 507 of the family's 1533-position model. The record is from RNAcentral.